Molecule: long non-coding RNA, 429 nt
Organism: Zingiber officinale
Lineage: Eukaryota; Viridiplantae; Streptophyta; Magnoliopsida; Zingiberales; Zingiberaceae
Exons: 3
Source: RefSeq, a predicted model, not a curated record
AUAUAUGAAUGAAUUUUUUCUUCAGUGUUAUACUACCAAUUAUAUUUCUCAUCUUAAUCUAAACUCUUUUAGAAAUCUUGUUGCUGUCUGCAUAUGCCAAUUAUUAUCAUAUUGCAUUUCAUUGUUCUGCGACAUGCUGAACUCAAACUCAAAGUAGCUUAUCAAACAGAGUUUGUCAAAUCAUAUAUUUUUUUGUGACUUUUAUUUCUGCUGUUUCUCUGGCUAGAUGUACUCGAAGGAGAAAUAUUUCUGCAAAACUUGCCCAGCAUUGUUACGGCUUGUGUUUUAGAUACUAAAGGUGCUUCUACUGACAUUGAAGUAAAUUAAAGUAUCCAACUUUUAUUGCUGGAAUCAUACUUCUCCAGUUAUAAACAUCAUUUACCUGCUAUAGAUCCUCAAGAAGGUGAAAGAAUAUUGGACAUGUGUGCU